Molecule: non-coding RNA, 142 nt
Organism: Gossypium raimondii (Peruvian cotton)
Lineage: Eukaryota; Viridiplantae; Streptophyta; Magnoliopsida; Malvales; Malvaceae
Source: Rfam
UGUUAAAAAUUUCAUUUAUUUAUACUGUUAAAAAUUGUAGUUAACAAAAUAACCAAACAGUUAUACGUGAUGUGUUGUGUGUACCUCAUGCUAAUGUACAGAGACUAGUUUUUAACAGUAGAAAUGGAUGAAAUUUUUAACA